GAUGAACGCUGGCGGCGUGCCUAAUACAUGCAAGUCGAGCGAACGGACGAGAAGCUUGCUUCUCUGAUGUUAGCGGCGGACGGGUGAGUAACACGUGGAUAACCUACCUAUAAGACUGGGAUAACUUCGGGAAACCGGAGCUAAUACCGGAUGAUAUUUUGAACCGCAUGGUUCAAAAGUGAAAGACGGUCUUGCUGUCACUUAUAGAUGGAUCCGCGCUGCAUUAGCUAGUUGGUAAGGUAACGGCUUACCAAGGCAACGAUGCAUAGCCGACCUGAGAGGGUGAUCGGCCACACUGGAACUGAGAAACGGUACAGACUCCUACGGGAGGCAGCAGUAGGGAAUCUUCCGCAAUGGGCGAAAGCCUGACGGAGCAAAGCCGCGUGAGUGAUGAAGGUCUUCGGAUCGUAAAACUCUGUUAUUAGGGAAGAACAUAUGUGUAAGUAACUGUGCACAUCUUGACGGUACCUAAUCAGAAAGCCACGGCUAACUACGUG
RNAcentral lists this ribosomal RNA (497 nucleotides) under uncultured bacterium. RNAcentral's name for it is "partial 16S ribosomal RNA". It matches the Rfam family "Bacterial small subunit ribosomal RNA", at positions 28 to 507 of the family's 1533-position model. The record is from RNAcentral.